RNAcentral lists this ribosomal RNA (254 nucleotides) under uncultured bacterium. Its description in RNAcentral is "partial 16S ribosomal RNA". It matches the Rfam family "Bacterial small subunit ribosomal RNA", at positions 524 to 776 of the family's 1533-position model. The record is from RNAcentral.
UACGUAGGGUGCGAGCGUUGUCCGGAAUUAUUGGGCGUAAAGAGCUCGUAGGCGGUCUGUCGCGUCGAUCGUGAAAACUUGGGGCUUAACCCUGAGCUUGCGGUCGAUACGGGCAUGACUGGAGUUCGGCAGGGGAGACUGGAAUUCCUGGUGUAGCGGUGAAAUGCGCAGAUAUCAGGAGGAACACCGGUGGCGAAGGCGGGUCUCUGGGCCGUAACUGACGCUGAGGAGCGAAAGCGUGGGGAGCGAACAGG